AACUUCUGAAUGUUGACCUCGAAUCAGGUAGGAAUACCCGCUGAACUUAAGCAUAUCAAUAAGCGGAGGAAAAGAAACCAACAGGGAUUGCCCCAGUAACGGCGAGUGAAGCGGCAACAGCUCAAAUUUGAAAUCUGGCUCUCGGGCCCGAGUUGUAAUUUGUAGAGGAUGCUUUUGGUGAGGUGCCUUCCGAGUUCCCUGGAACGGGACGCCAUAGAGGGUGAGAGCCCCGUCUGGUCGGACACCGAUCCUCUGUAAAGCUCCUUCGACGAGUCGAGUAGUUUGGGAAUGCUGCUCUAAAUGGGAGGUAUAUGUCUUCUAAAGCUAAAUACCGGCCAGAGACCGAUAGCGCACAAGUAGAGUGAUCGAAAGAUGAAAAGAACUUUGAAAAGAGAGUUAAAAAGUACGUGAAAUUGUUGAAAGGGAAGCGCUUGUGACCAGACUUGGGCUUGGUUGAUCAUCCAGGGUUCUCCCUGGUGCACUCUUCCGGCCCAGGCCAGCAUCAGUUCGCCCCGGGGGAAAAAGGCUUCGGGAAUGUGGCUCUCUCCGGGGAGUGUUA
RNAcentral lists this ribosomal RNA (559 nucleotides) under Fusarium ambrosium. Its description in RNAcentral is "eukaryotic LSU rRNA". It matches the Rfam family "Eukaryotic large subunit ribosomal RNA", at positions 1 to 558 of the family's 3401-position model. Lineage: Eukaryota; Fungi; Ascomycota; Sordariomycetes; Hypocreales; Nectriaceae. The record is from RNAcentral. RNAcentral also lists the same sequence under 2 other names.